Molecule: unclassified non-coding RNA, 405 nt
Filed under: soil metagenome
Description: partial contains 5.8S ribosomal RNA, internal transcribed spacer 2, and large subunit ribosomal RNA
Rfam family: 5.8S ribosomal RNA (bases 1-121)
Source: RNAcentral
GAUGAAGAACGCAGUGAAAUGCGAUAAGUAAUGUGAAUUGCAGAAUUCAGUGAAUCAUCGAAUCUUUGAACGCACCUUGCGCCCUUUGGACAUUCCGAAGGGCAUGCCUGUUUGAGUAUCAUGAACACCUCAACUCUCACGGCUUGUCCGUGAUGAGCUUGGACUUUGGGGGUCUUGCCGGCCUGUGGUCGGCUCCUCUCAAAUGGAUCAGCUUGCCAGUGUUUGGUGGCAUCACAGGUGUGAUAACUAUCUGCGCUUGUGGUUUUCCAUCAGAUAACCUUCAGUGAUAUGGAGGUUCGCUGGAGCUCACAAAUGUCUCUCCUUAGUGAGGACAGCUCUUUGAACGUUUGAUCUCAAAUCAGGUAGGACUACCCGCUGAACUUAAGCAUAUCAAUAAGCGGAGGA